GACGAACGCUGGCGGGGGGAGGAACACAUGCAAGUCGAACGGAAAGGCCCUGCUUUUGUGGGGUGCUCGAGUGGCGAACGGGUGAGUAACACGUGAGUAACCUGCCCUUGACUUUGGGAUAACUUCAGGAAACUGGGGCUAAUACCGGAUAGGAGCUCCUGCUGCAUGGUGGGGGUUGGAAAGUUUCGGCGGUUGGGGAUGGACUCGCGGCUUAUCAGCUUGUUGGUGGGGUAGUGGCUUACCAAGGCUUUGACGGGUAGCCGGCCUGAGAGGGUGACCGGCCACAUUGGGACUGAGAUACGGCCCAGACUCCUACGGGAGGCAGCAGUGGGGAAUAUUGCACAAUGGGCGGAAGCCUGAUGCAGCAACGCCGCGUGCGGGAUGACGGCCUUCGGGUUGUAAACCGCUUUCGCCUGUGACGAAGCGUGAGUGACGGUAAUGGGUAAAGAAGCACCGGCUCACUACGUC
Molecule: ribosomal RNA, 468 nt
Filed under: uncultured bacterium
Lineage: Bacteria
Description: partial 16S ribosomal RNA
Rfam family: Bacterial small subunit ribosomal RNA
Source: RNAcentral